RNAcentral lists this transfer RNA (73 nucleotides) under Trichoderma longibrachiatum SMF2. Its description in RNAcentral is "tRNA-Lys (TTT) (tRNA-Lys-TTT-4-1)". It matches the Rfam family "tRNA". Rfam says of the family: Transfer RNA (tRNA) molecules are approximately 80 nucleotides in length. Their secondary structure includes four short double-helical elements and three loops (D, anti-codon, and T loops). Further hydrogen bonds mediate the characteristic L-shaped molecular structure. tRNAs have two regions of fundamental functional importance: the anti-codon, which is responsible for specific mRNA codon recognition, and the 3' end, to which the tRNAs corresponding amino acid is attached (by aminoacyl-tRNA synthetases). tRNAs cope with the degeneracy of the genetic code in two manners: having more than one tRNA (with a specific anti-codon) for a particular amino acid; and 'wobble' base-pairing, i.e. permitting non-standard base-pairing at the 3rd anti-codon position. The record is from RNAcentral. Lineage: Eukaryota; Fungi; Ascomycota; Sordariomycetes; Hypocreales; Hypocreaceae.
GGAUUAGUAGUCAAGUGGUUAUAACAUAGCUCUUUUAAUACUACUAUUGCAGGUUUAAAUCCUGCCUAGUCUA